Molecule: ribosomal RNA, 522 nt
Filed under: Lysinibacillus fusiformis
Lineage: Bacteria; Bacillati; Bacillota; Bacilli; Caryophanales; Bacillaceae
Description: bacterial SSU rRNA
Rfam family: Bacterial small subunit ribosomal RNA
Source: RNAcentral
CCCAAGUGGAGCGAACAGAGAAGGAGCUUGCUCCUUCGACGUUAGCGGCGGACGGGUGAGUAACACGUGGGCAACCUACCUUAUAGUUUGGGAUAACUCCGGGAAACCGGGGCUAAUACCGAAUAAUCUGUUUCACCUCAUGGUGAAACACUGAAAGACGGUUUCGGCUGUCGCUAUAGGAUGGGCCCGCGGCGCAUUAGCUAGUUGGUGAGGUAACGGCUCACCAAGGCGACGAUGCGUAGCCGACCUGAGAGGGUGAUCGGCCACACUGGGACUGAGACACGGCCCAGACUCCUACGGGAGGCAGCAGUAGGGAAUCUUCCACAAUGGGCGAAAGCCUGAUGGAGCAACGCCGCGUGAGUGAAGAAGGAUUUCGGUUCGUAAAACUCUGUUGUAAGGGAAGAACAAGUACAGUAGUAACUGGCUGUACCUUGACGGUACCUUAUUAGAAAGCCACGGCUAACUACGUGCCAGCAGCCGCGGUAAUACGUAGGUGGCAAGCGUUGUCCGGAAUUAUUGGGC